GAUGAACGCUAGCGAUAGGCUUAACACAUGCAAGUCGAGGGGCAGCAUGGUCUUAGCUUGCUAAGGCUGAUGGCGACCGGCGUAAGGGUGCGUAACGCGUAUGUAACUUGCCUUUGUAGAGGGGGAGUAACCCGGACGAAAUCCGGCCCUAAUACCGCGUAUUCUCAAGUUGCUGCAUGGCAGUUUGAGGAAAGAUUUAUUGCUCAGAGAUAGGCAUGCGUUCCAUUAGGUAGUUGGUGAGGUAACGGCUCACCAAGCCGACGAUGGAUAGGGGAGCUGAGAGGCUGACCCCCCACACUGGGACUGAGACACGGCCCAG
RNAcentral lists this ribosomal RNA (319 nucleotides) under uncultured bacterium. Its description in RNAcentral is "bacterial SSU rRNA". It matches the Rfam family "Bacterial small subunit ribosomal RNA", at positions 28 to 334 of the family's 1533-position model. The record is from RNAcentral.